This is a long non-coding RNA of Haemorhous mexicanus (house finch), 959 nucleotides long. RefSeq lists it as uncharacterized. The transcript is spliced from 2 exons. NCBI's taxonomy places the organism in Eukaryota, Metazoa, Chordata, Aves, Passeriformes, Fringillidae. The record is from RefSeq and is a predicted model, not a curated record.
AUAAUGCAAAGCAUUUACUUUGAAACCUGUGAGGACAAAAGAAAGUUUCCAUCAGCAAACUUGAUGCUCUGCAGAAGUGAUAUCCCAGCAUCUAUGAAGAAUCUGCACCACUUUUAAUAGUGUGGACUUUUAUUAAUUCAUCUUUUUUUUAAUCAAGCUUAACACAUUUAUCAAAGGAAAAGAAGGAUAUAACUUCUGGUCUUUGUCACUUCUUUUAAGGAUGUAUCUCUAUGACUCAGUAGACUUAUGAAUGGAAUUAAACACCCUGAUAAGGAUCAGUGUUAACUAAAAGGUAUAAUAAGACCAAAACAAAUUUUCUAUGCUGCCCCUCAGAAAACUCUGUAGUACCUGUUUGCAUAUUGAGCACUAAAGACAAGUUUUUCAUACACUGCUCCCUUGAACAUUACAGAACCACCCAACAGAAUUCAUACUCACGUAGUAAUGAAAAUUUGACAUAACUGAGAAACUAGGAUCCAAACAUAAUGAUAUUCCUGCUUUCCAGGAACAUGAAUCCUAAAGGCUAGCAAGACCUGGGGUCUUAAUGGAUCUGUCUAUGAGAAGAAGAGCAGGUGAAAAACCUAGAAGACAGGACACAUUCCAGAAUAUGAGCACAGUAUGCCUUCCAGGUGCUGUACAGAAGGAUGCAUGUCGACACAGGCACAGCUGACACCUACUACACAAAGUUCCAAAUCAAAUAACCUCGCCUGGGAGAACUCUAACAAAGGGGUGAACUGCAGCCUCAACUCUCGAAAAACAUCAAGGCUAUAAACACAGAUGGAACAAUGGAAGAUGAGUAUUUACCUCAAAGGCACAAAAAUCCACUUAACCAUUUUUUCAUAUAUACUUGGUGCGGUUGAGGGCUCUCUCGGCAAGGUGACCACUUUCAUCUGUUAUCUUCUCCCAGUCGGUUUGUCCAACAACAAAACCGAUGGCCCUUUUCCUGUCAGCAUCUUUUUUUU